CUUCCCUUCCCUUCCCUUCCCUUCCCUUCCCUUCCCUCUUUCCUUUCUCCCUCCACCCCUCUCUUCCAACUCUCUGCCUGUCUCCUGAUAUUCUAGGCCCAGGAUUUUCACCUAGCAUCCCUAUUCCUCUUGGUCAUUUCCCUCCCCUCUCCCCUUCCUUUCCCUUCCUCUCCCAGAUCACAGUGAGCAGGAGGAGCUCUGGGACACAGCAGGGAUAUUCCUUCCUUCCCAGGCAGCCUCUGGCAGGCAGAGCAAAUUUCCCAGCAGAACUUCAAACAUCCUUUGUCUGUCUCCCUUUGGAGAGUGUUUCCAGGAACCAGCAGCUCUGUGUACCCCAGUCAUUUGCAUUCUGUGCUGACUUUGAGCUUUGGGGAAAGAAAAAAAAAAGGUUACUGUAUUUUUGUUGAUCUUACAUUUGAGGCAUAUUCAGCACUUUCUUGUUCACUGGAAUUGGAACAGUUGUUGAUUUUUAAUUGGGAUGUGUUAUUAUUCUGGCCAUUAAACCAGCACGGCAAAAUCAAGUGUUUUAAAGCUGGAGGUGAACCAUUUCUACAGGUGAGAAAUGAAAUCUGUGCAUUCCUGGGCAUUCUGGCUCUCUGCUCACACCAAGGCAGCCCUCUCGCUGAAGGUUUAACUGGAUGCCUAAGCCACAUGCCAAGGUUUUUGCUCAGGGACUGUAUCAGCAAAAAUGUCUCAGAAUUUAAUUUGGGCAAAUACUGUCCAGUAUUUGUUUAGGAGUUCUGUUUUCUGCCCCUUUGGAAAGCUCAUGCAUGAGAAGGGCACGGGUAGAGUCAGGAUAAAUUAUAUUAAAGUGGGAGUAGGAGUCAUGGAAACUUGCCCUUUAGAUGUAUCUUGAUCUUGGACCUAAUAACCUUCUGUAUCAUAUGCAGACACUCACCAAAGAAGCUCUGAUUAGUUUUGCAUGCUUAAAACUCAGCUUUACUAUCCCUAAAUUGGCAGAUUUUGAGAUCUGUGCCCUGUGUACAGUAGCUAAGCUGUAAACAACAAGAGCAUUUGCUCCAUUGUUUCUGAUGGGAUGUCAUCCAAGGGAAAACAGGGAUUGUCUUCAACAAUUUGAAGCUUGUGUAGGCAGACAAUACACUGUUUUUGCCUGUGGGCAGCAUGAACAUGCCUCUACUUCAGCCCAAGAAAGCAGCUGAGAGGGACAUGAAUUCAAAAUCCACACAUGCUGCCGAGAGGAUGGGACAGGCCCUGGGCAGCUGGGAAUGUUGGGGGAUAAAAAGGCACUAAAAUAAGGGCAAAGAUUUUUGUCCUAAACAGUAAAGAUUUUUUUUUCCUAAAGAGCUUUACAGGCAUUCUUGGAAAGAAGCCUGCUAAAAGCAUUGCCUUACUCAGGCUGGGCUUUCCAUCAAGUGACUUUCACAUUUAGGAGGGAAUUCUUCCCUGUGAGAGUAGUGAGGCCCUGGCACAGCUUUCCCAGAGAAGCUGUGGCUGCCCCUGGAUUCCUGGAAGUGUCCAAGGCCAGUAUGGAUGGGGCUUGGAGCAAACUGGGAUAGUGGAAGGUGUCCCUGCACAUGGCAAGGGUGGAACAGGAUGAUGCUUAAGGUCCCUUCUAACCCAAAUCAUUCAGGGAUUUUAUUAUAAAUGCAUUUUCAUGAAGAGCAGCACAAGAUAAAAGGAGGCCUGAACCCAUCCAUGAGGAAACAAUAUGAAGUAAAGUUGAAAUUAAAACAGUAAUUUGAGACAGGAAGAUCUAGGAAUGGCUGAACCUAAUCCCAUAUGAGAGCAGAGUGGUGAAUUCUUCACCUUGGUUACCAAGACAUGACCCCCAUGGCUAUGCAAUCCCGUGUUUCCUCUCCUGCCCACAUAAAUAUGCUGUCAUCAAAUACAAUGUGCAUUGUGCAACUCCAGAAAGCAGAAUUUGGGACUUCCCUAAUCCUACUGACGUGUGGUCACGGGUGGCACAGACUGUCCAAGCUGCAGAGGAAAUAUUCCCGUAACAAACUUUGCAAUAAUGGAGGUUUGUUUGAUGUUCCUGUUGUGAAGACAAUCCACUGUGAGCACAUUAAUAAAGAAAAAAAAAUCUUAAAAAGAGUCUGCCCAGCAGCUACUUUUUUUUUUUUUUUUUUUUUUUUUUUUACAUAAGCAUUUAUGUGGGAGGAGAACAGGAGAUUUGAAAUGUACCUGGCAGCCUGCUGAGGCAUAGGUAUGACCCACGUUAUGUUAUAGAUCUUAAUUACUUAUGAUGGUUAACCGACAGGAGCAGCAGAAAACCCUGAAACAAAGGGAGGCCGAGGCUCCCUCUUCCCUCCAGGGCAUUUGGAGUGUCUGGAAAAGUGCUCUGGUGCUGCCCUUUACCCACACACA
This is a long non-coding RNA of Poecile atricapillus (Black-capped chickadee), 2328 nucleotides long. RefSeq lists it as uncharacterized. The record is from RefSeq and is a predicted model, not a curated record. The transcript is spliced from 3 exons. Lineage: Eukaryota; Metazoa; Chordata; Aves; Passeriformes; Paridae.